UACGUAGGGGGCUAGCGUUGUCCGGAAUCAUUGGGCGUAAAGAGCGCGUAGGCGGCCAGAUAAGUCCGGUGUGAAAGUCAAAGGCUCAACCUUUGAAUGCCGCUGGAAACUGUCUGGCUAGAGUCCGGGAGGGGCGAGUGGAAUUCCUGGUGUAGCGGUGAAAUGCGCAGAUAUCGGGAGGAACACCUAUGGCGAAGGCAGCUCGCUGGGACGUUACUGACGCUGAGACGCGAAAGCGUGGGGAGCAAACAGG
This 253-nucleotide ribosomal RNA is filed under the name uncultured bacterium. Its description in RNAcentral is "partial 16S ribosomal RNA". It matches the Rfam family "Bacterial small subunit ribosomal RNA", at positions 524 to 776 of the family's 1533-position model. The record is from RNAcentral.